UUGCGCGGGACUUGAUCUCAGUUCUUUGAAGUAAAUUACAUUCAAUCGCUAUAAAAAUUGUAUUAUUUCAACGUUUAUUACUAAAAAUUGUGUUAUUUAACCGUGUAGUAACAGUUUUAUUAUUGAAAAACUGAGUAAAUCUCUUUCCGUGUGCAGAACUUAACAAGUGUUCCCAAUUCGUAAGAAUAACUUCCUCUUUACGAAAUAUUUAUUUCCAAUAAUCAAUCUUAAAAAAUUGUUUUACUUUUUCCUAAACUAAAACAUGUGAAUAUUUACAAAAAUUGAGUGCAAAUAUUUUACUACUUUAGUUUCUAACCUAGUUUUGACCAUGACCUUGAACAAUCGCCAUUGCGAUUUUGGAAACAAAAAUCGUUAAGUAAAUUUUAGUAAUUGUUUUCAUCAGUGUAAGCCAUUUUUAGAUUAGUGAACGGGAUUUUUAGAAAGAAAAUUAAAAUUUGUGUAAUUCGCCAAACUUUGUUUGUGUUCGGUUUAUUAUUCGUUAAAAAAAAAGUGUGUUAAAUUUUGAAAAAUUAAUAUUUACAUCAGUGCUGAAAGUAAUUGUGAUAAAAAAAAAAAAGUGGGUGUUGUGUAUGUGAUUUUAAUUUGACACAAGGAUUAGGCGUUAUGAAGCAGCUCUAGGGGGAGAUCUUGCACAGUCGAACAGAGUUAAUUGUGAUCGCAAAAAAAGUAUUGCUGAGAGUAGCUGCAAGCUGCAACGUGGGAAACCGAGUACCAGGCCUGAUGGACAAUUAAAACUGCAAAAAUUGGUAUGUAAUCUAUGAUAUUAGUUUACAAUUUUGUGGUAUUUUUUAAUGAAAAAUUAAUUCUUU
Molecule: long non-coding RNA, 830 nt
Organism: Leptopilina boulardi
Lineage: Eukaryota; Metazoa; Arthropoda; Insecta; Hymenoptera; Figitidae
Exons: 3
Source: RefSeq, a predicted model, not a curated record